Long non-coding RNA from Panicum virgatum (switchgrass), 525 nucleotides. RefSeq lists it as uncharacterized. The record is from RefSeq and is a predicted model, not a curated record. Lineage: Eukaryota; Viridiplantae; Streptophyta; Magnoliopsida; Poales; Poaceae. The transcript has 3 exons.
GCAAUAGCACCGCCACCCCUUCCGGCCCAGCGCUGCCAUCUCGUUCGCAACCUCUCCGCUCACGCCGUCGCCCUCUCCCUAGCAAGUCAUCACUGCUCAACCUCCGAUUGGUCCUCUCAGGUGUAGUAUUGCUGUGAAUUUUUCCUGCAACUUGUCCCUGCCGACGUCUGCCGGCUGCUGCACAUCAAGCAACUGGUUUCUGAUGCUUGGGGCUACUCGUUAGCUCUAGGAAAACAGAGGCAGCACGGUGAAGGGAGAGGAGAAAUUAGAGAGGGAGGAAAAAGGAAGAAGGUACCAAAUGAGUGCGGCAUGCAUGGGAAGUGGGAGUAGCAUAAUCUGCAAGAACACACACUUUCUUUUAGACUUGCUUAGUCUAUCUUAAUUAGUUCUUAGAGUAUAAAUGGUUAAACUGGGUUGUUUUAUUCCUUUAAUGGUGAGACAUCUUAUGGUUAGUUGGGUUAAUUUAUUUUCCUGCUGGUAUGGGCUGUGAUACUUAUUCUAUCAAUCAUAUGCUAUUUUGUUAAA